GUGCUUAGUCUUAAGACAUCAAUUAAAAAGGAAAACAGGGAGUAUUUAUCAGUAACACAUUUAACAAGAAAAAUAAUUACAGCAGCAGCAGAACUAGAAGAUCAUAAAAUUCCAAUAAUCAUGAAAACUAAACAUAUUCUUGUUAUAACAUCAAACAGACACACCUAAGCAUCUCCUUUAUUAGACAAACGACUCUAUCAAGGCACAAAAUACAAACUACGACGACGGAAGGUAUCUCCGGAAAGAAGACGAAGAUGACCGAACUGAAUACCGGCGGACCACGAGUUGUACGAAUAUCUGUUAUCGACGCCGACGCCACUUUCUCUCCCAGCGACGAAGAUGAGACACUCUUUAAGGGUUAGAAAGUAAAGAACAAAUCCUAGAUUUUUAACGCGACAAACAAAAAUUACAAACCCAAUAAAGUUAUGGAGCUUUACCUUUCGAUCCGUUUGCUAUGGAGACCUUCUGUUGGCCUUUACCUUAGCUCUUCCGUCUGCUACCGAUAUUGUACGAGGGAGGGAGGGAAAAGUUGGAGAGAGAAAAUGAAAAUUUUCCUAUCUGAUUUUUGCUCUG
This 573-nucleotide long non-coding RNA is filed under the name Panax ginseng (ginseng). RNAcentral's name for it is "long non-coding RNA (PGIN_LNC015840)". Lineage: Eukaryota; Viridiplantae; Streptophyta; Magnoliopsida; Apiales; Araliaceae. The record is from RNAcentral.